GACGAGCGGCGGACUGGUGAGUAAUGUCUGGGAAACUGCCUGAUGGAGGGGGAAAAUAGGGGGGACGGUAGGAAUACAGCAUAACGUCGCAAGACCAAAGAGGGGGACCUUCGGGCCUCUUGCCACAGAGGGGGUGGGUGGGAUUAGCUAGUAGGUGGGGUAACGGCUCACCUAGGCGACAAUCCCUAGCUGGUCUGAGAGGAUGACCAGCCACACUGGAACUGAGACACGGUCCAGACUCCUACGGGAGGCAGCAGUGGGGAAUAUUGUACAAUGGGCGCAAGCCUGAUGCAGCCAUGCCGCGUGUAUGAAGAAGGCCUUCGGGUUGUAAAGUACUUUCACCGGGGAGGAAGGCGCCCCCCUUAAUAACCUUGUCGAUUGACGUUUCCCUCAGAUUAAGACCGGCUAACUCCGUGCCAACAGCCGCGGGAAUACGGAGGGUGCUAGCUUUUAUCUGAAUUACAGGGCGUAAAGCCGCACGCGGGCGGUCUGUCAAGUCGGAUAUGAAAAUCCCGGGGUUCUACCCGGGAAAAGGCAUUUCGGACAGGGGGGCUAUAGUUUUGUAUAGGGGGGGGUCAAAAUUCCAGGUGGUACCGGUGAAAUGCCCUAGAGAUCUGCGAGGAAAUACCCCGCCGGG
RNAcentral lists this ribosomal RNA (637 nucleotides) under Enterobacter asburiae. Its description in RNAcentral is "partial 16S ribosomal RNA". It matches the Rfam family "Bacterial small subunit ribosomal RNA", at positions 90 to 716 of the family's 1533-position model. Lineage: Bacteria; Pseudomonadati; Pseudomonadota; Gammaproteobacteria; Enterobacterales; Enterobacteriaceae. The record is from RNAcentral.